AUCCAGCUGAUGAGUCCUAAAUAGGACGAAACGCGCGUCAAACUGGAU
Schistosoma mansoni is the source of this 48-nucleotide non-coding RNA. The record is from Rfam. NCBI's taxonomy places the organism in Eukaryota, Metazoa, Platyhelminthes, Trematoda, Strigeidida, Schistosomatidae.